UACGUAGGGGGCAAGCGUUGUCCGGAUUUACUGGGUGUAAAGCGCGCGUAGGUGGUCCCGUAAGUCCGCUGUGAAAGUCAAAGGCUCAACCUUUGAAAGCCGGUGGAUACUGUCGGACUAGAGUGCGGAAGAGGCGAGUGGAAUUCCUGGUGUAGCGGUGGAAUGCGCAGAUAUCAGGAGGAACACCAGUAGCGAAGGCGACACUCUGGGCCGGUACUGACGCUGAGGCGCGAAAGCGUGGGGAGCAAACAGG
Molecule: ribosomal RNA, 253 nt
Filed under: uncultured bacterium
Lineage: Bacteria
Description: partial 16S ribosomal RNA
Rfam family: Bacterial small subunit ribosomal RNA
Source: RNAcentral